GGUAGAGAGCAGUCACAGCGGGCAGUAGCAGCAGAAUGUUGGCUACCAGUGUAUUUAGCCUAGUUGGCAAGCGAGCAAUUUCCACCUCAGUGUGUGUACAAGCACAUGGUAGUGUUGUGAAGAGCGAAGACUAUUUGCUCCCAGCUUAUAGGGACUGGCGUGACUAUCCCUUGCAGGAUGUGGCCCAUAUCAAGCACCUGUCUGCCAGCCAGAAGGCCUUGAAGAAGAAGGAGAAGGCCUCCUGGAGCAGCCUCUCCACGGAUGAGAAAGUCAAGCUGUAACUCAUUCAGUUCAAGGAGAGCUUUGCUGAGAUGAACAGGGGCAUGAACGAGUGGAAGACGGUUGUGGGUGCUGCCAUGUUCUUCAUCGGCUUCAUGGCACUCGUUAUCAUCUGGGAGAAGCUCUAUGUGUAUGGCCCAAUCCUGCACACCUUUGACAAAGAGUGGGUGGCCAUGCAGACCAAGAGGAUGCUAGACAUGAAGGUGAAACCAACCAGGGCUUCACCGCCAAGUGGGACUGUGACAAGAAUGAGUGGAAGAAGUGAGAUGCUGUCCUGCACCUGAGCCUGGCUCUGUCACCUCCAUGUGACUCCAUGCCUAUGUACUGGAAACCUGUUAUGCCAAACAGUACCACUGCUAAUAAAUGAUGAGUUUACCUGAAAA
Molecule: RNA transcript, 662 nt
Organism: Cebus imitator (Panamanian white-faced capuchin)
Lineage: Eukaryota; Metazoa; Chordata; Mammalia; Primates; Cebidae
Gene name: cytochrome c oxidase subunit 4 isoform 1, mitochondrial-like
Exons: 1
Source: RefSeq, a predicted model, not a curated record